AGUGAACGCUGGCGGUAGGCCUAACACAUGCAAGUCGAACGGCAGCACAGUAAGAGCUUGCUCUUACGGGUGGCGAGUGGCGGACGGGUGAGGAAUACAUCGGAAUCUACUUUUUCGUGGGGGAUAACGUAGGGAAACUUACGCUAAUACCGCAUACGACCUACGGGUGAAAGCAGGGGAUCUUCGUACCUUGCGCGAUUGAAUGAGCCGAUGUCGGAUUAGCUAGUUGGCGGGGUAAAGGCCCACCAAGGCGACGAUCCGUAGCUGGUCUGAGAGGAUGAUCAGCCACACUGGAACUGAGACACGGUCCAGACUCCUACGGGAGGCAGCAGUGGGGAAUAUUGGACAAUGGGCGCAAGCCUGAACCAGCCAUACCGCGUGGGUGAAGAAGGCCUUCGGGUUGUAAAGCCCUUUUGUUGGGAAAGAAAAGCAGCAGGUUAAUACCCCGCUGUUCUGACGGUACCCAAAGAAUAAGCACCGGCUAACUUCGUG
This 492-nucleotide ribosomal RNA is filed under the name uncultured bacterium. RNAcentral's name for it is "partial 16S ribosomal RNA". It matches the Rfam family "Bacterial small subunit ribosomal RNA", at positions 29 to 507 of the family's 1533-position model. The record is from RNAcentral.